This 301-nucleotide ribosomal RNA is filed under the name uncultured bacterium. RNAcentral describes it as "partial 16S ribosomal RNA". It matches the Rfam family "Bacterial small subunit ribosomal RNA", at positions 509 to 807 of the family's 1533-position model. The record is from RNAcentral.
CAGCCGCCGCGGGAAUACGAAGGGUGCAAGCGUUAAUCGGAAUUACUGGGCGUAAAGGGCGCGUAGGCGGUUUGACAAGUCUGAUGUGAAAUCUCUGGGCUCAACCCAGAGUCUGCAUCGGAAACUGUCGAGCUUGAGUAUGGGAGAGGUGAGUGGAAUUUCCGGUGUAGCGGUGAAAUGCGUAGACAUCGGAAGGAACACCUGUGGCGAAAGCGGCUCACUGGACCAUUACUGACGCUGAGGCGCGAAAGCUAGGGGAGCAAACAGGAUUAGAUACCCCAGUAGUCCCUGUCUCUUAUAC